RNAcentral lists this ribosomal RNA (417 nucleotides) under uncultured Cortinarius. Its description in RNAcentral is "eukaryotic LSU rRNA". It matches the Rfam family "Eukaryotic large subunit ribosomal RNA", at positions 1 to 410 of the family's 3401-position model. Lineage: Eukaryota; Fungi; Basidiomycota; Agaricomycetes; Agaricales; Cortinariaceae. The record is from RNAcentral.
GUGACCUCAAAUCAGGUAGGACUACCCGCUGAACUUAAGCAUAUCAAUAAGCGGAGGAAAAGAAACUAACAAGGAUUCCCCUAGUAACUGCGAGUGAAGCGGGAAAAGCUCAAAUUUAAAAUCUGGCGGCCUUUUUGCUGUCCGAGUUGUAAUCUAGAGAAGUGUUAUCCGCGCUGGACCGUGUACAAGUCUCCUGGAAUGGAGCAUCAUAGAGGGUGAGAAUCCCGUCUUUGACAUGGACUACCAGGGCUUUGUGAUGCGCUCUCAAAGAGUCGAGUUGUUUGGGAAUGCAGCUCAAAAUGGGUGGUAAAUUCCAUCUAAAGCUAAAUAUUGGCGAGAGACCGAUAGCGAACAAGUACCGUGAGGGAAAGAUGAAAAGAACUUUGGAAAGAGAGUAAACAGUACGUGAAAUUGCUG